RNAcentral lists this long non-coding RNA (2662 nucleotides) under Homo sapiens (human). RNAcentral's name for it is "HSALNT0179210". The record is from RNAcentral. Lineage: Eukaryota; Metazoa; Chordata; Mammalia; Primates; Hominidae.
UUGGAGGACAAAACCCACCCAUCCAGGACUCAGAGGGGUUAGUGGUGAGCUAUUUAGUGCCUGCUCCCUGUCUCUUGUGCUCUACCUGUGCAUGCUGCAUCCCAUGGACCUUCAGAUCCUGGCACUGACAGUCAUUUGUAAGGAGACUGCAAGUAAAGAGUCUCUGGCCAUCAGAGAUUUCAAUGCACUGUCAAUCUACAAGAAGGGUAUAUGAUAUGCAGUUGUUUCACAAACACUGUAACAAAUGAUUUUGAAGAGGACAUCUUAGGAUACUCUGAGUUACUCCAACUUGGACAUUUCACAGAGUAUCUUUUGCAAGUGGGUCAGAGAGAUACGCCAUGAGAAGCACUCAACUUGCAAUUGUUGAUUCUGAAGAUGGAAGAAGGGGGCCACGAGCCAUGGAAUGCAGCAGCCUCUAGAAGAGGAUGGCCCUAGGCUGACAGGAGCAAGAUAACAGGGACUUUGGUCUUACAACUGCGUGGAAUUGAAUUCAGCCAACAAUUCAAAUAAACUUCCAGAAAGAAACACAGCCUGCUGAUACCUUGACUUUAAUCUGGUGAGACCCAUAGUGGACAUCUGAUAUACAAAAUUGUAAGAUGAUAAUUACGUUUUUUUAAGCCAUUAAAUUUGUGGUGAUUUGUUUCUACAGCAGCCUAGAAAACUAAUAUGCAUAUAGUAGUGUGUAUGUGUGUGUGUGUGUCUGGCUUAUUGUACUUAAUAUAAUAUUUGCAAGAUUCCUAUCUGCUAUUAUUGAUUUUCAUUGUUGUAUAUUAUCCUUUUGUUCAAAUAUGCCAUAAUUUAUUUACCUAUUCUAUUGUUGAUGGACAUUUGGUUAUUCCCAGGUUUAGGCUAUUACAAACAAUGCUGCCAUGCACAUCCCUGUAUAUAUUUUUGUUGAACACAUGUACUCAUUACUAUUGGGUAUAUACCUAGGGAUAGAUCAUAGGGUAUAUGUUUGGCUCUGAUAGAUACUGACAAAAAAUCUUCCAAUGUGGUGGUUUACUUCCCAUGAGCAAUGUUUGAGACUCUCUACAUGUUCACAAACACUUGGUAUGAACAGUCUUUAAUUUUAGCCAUUCUGGGAGUACCACCAUUUCAUGUGAAUUGACCGUUUUACAUAUCCUCUUUUAAGAAAUGCCUGUUCAAGUCUUUUGUCCAUUAAAAAAAAAUGUUUUUUUUUUCUCAAAGACUUGUAGCUGCUCUUUACAUAUUCUGAAGAUAAAUUUCUUUUCCAGAUGUCUGGAUUACAAAUAUCUUUUCCUGUGCUCUGUCUUGCCCCAUUCUCUUCAUGGUGUCUUUAGAUGAACAGAGGUUUGUAUUUUAAUGUAGUUCAUCAAUAUUUUCCUUUGUGAUUAGUAUGCUUUGUGCCUGUUUAAUACUUAAUCUUUGCCUAUCACACACUUAGGAAGUUAUUUUUCAAUAUUAUCUUCUAGACUUUUAUUGUUUUACAUUUUAUAUUUUUAUCUAUAAUCCAUGUAGAAAGAUUUUUGUGUAUAGUGUGAGGUUGGGUCAAGAGCCAUUUUUAAAAAAGUUGGAUAUCCAAUUGAUGCAGUGUCAUUUACUAAAAAGAUCAUCCUUUUCCACUUCAGAGCAAUUUUACUUUUGUCAUAAAAUCAAGAGGUUGUAUGUGUGUGUUAUUGUUUCUGCACUCUAUAUUAUUCCAUUGGUCUACUUGUCUACACUUAUACCAAUUUCAUACUGCCUGUAAUUAUGUAACCUCAUAAUAAAUCCUAACAUCAUAUAAUGUAAAUUCUCUGACUUCAUUUUUCUGUGUUUUGCCUAUUGUUGGUCUUUUAUAUUUCCAUAUUAAUAUUAGAAUCACUUUGUCUAAUCUAUCACCAUCACCAACAAAUAAAUAAAAAAUAUCUUCUGAGAUGUUGAUAGGAAUUGCAGUGAAUCAAUAUAUCAGUUUGGGAGAAAUGAAAUCUUUGCCACAUUGCAUCUUCCUAUUCAUGAAUAAGGUAUACCCCACAUUUAUGCAUCUUCCUUUAAUAACAUUUGUGGCUUUUUUGUAUAGUGGUGCUCUUUUGUCAGUUCUAUUCCUAUGACUUUAAUGUUUUUCACUCCUACUGUCAAUGAUAUGUUUAGUUUUCUUAUUGUUUAGUAUUGUUAUAUGGAAAUACAACUGAUUACUUUGAUAUUAACCUUGUUAUUUAGUAAAAUUGCUAAAGUUACUUUUUAAUUAUAGCAGUCUAUCUAGUUAUUUUGAAUUUUAAACAUACAGAAUUAUGUUACCAGAAAAUAAGGAUCAUUUUAUUGUUUUCCUUCCAAUCAUCUUACUUUUUCUUGCACCUCCCCUUAAUAGCAGUAGUGAUAGAAGGGUAGAGUAGUGAUAGAAGGUGUCUCAUACCUGUUUCCAGGGAAAAAGCUUCCAAAAUUUCAUUACUAAGUAUGGUGUUUAGGCUGGCUCCCUGGCUCACACCUGUAAUCCCAGCACUUUGGGAGGAUCACUUGUGGCCAGGAGUUAGAACAGCCUGACCAACAUGGUGAAACUCCAUCUCUACUAAAAAUACAAAAAUUAGCCAAGCAUGGUGGUGCAUGGCUAUAGUCCCAGGUACUCAGGAGGCUAAAGCAUGAAAAUCACUUGACUAGGGGAGGCAGAGGUUGCAGUGAGCCAAGAUCUUGGCACUACAUUCCAGACUGUGUGAUGGAGUGAGACUCU